Triticum urartu is the source of this 868-nucleotide RNA transcript. RefSeq lists it as uncharacterized. The record is from RefSeq and is a predicted model, not a curated record. Lineage: Eukaryota; Viridiplantae; Streptophyta; Magnoliopsida; Poales; Poaceae.
UCCAGGAUCGCGUUUUGCGUGAACUUUUUAGAUACCGAUCUACUUGAAAUAACACUUGUGAGAACAAGUCCACUUAAAUCAGAAUCCAAUGAAUAAUAAUUAUUUUAAUUUAUCUUGUUAUCAUCAUUUAGUACUACUCUGCAUAUGGUUCCAUAUAUUUUGGUCUCACGGACAUUAGCACAAGCACCUGAUGUUCUAGUACAAGAAAUGACCAAUUGAAAAUCAAUGAUUUUUUCUAGUAGAUAGCAACACUACAAAAGACCGUGGACGAAUGUUCAUUAGCAUCAAUUGUAAAAAUGGGAUGCCAAAAACACACACGGACGUUCGGUUGCACUAUUUGCAGCUGUCCAAGUACAGGCACAACGGCAGCUGUCAAGCAGACCAAGUGCAGUAGCAGCUCCCUUCCCAUAUCCAGUCGCCAGCUCCAUGCCUCCAUCUUAUCCGUCCCUCACAACACUGAUUGCAGCAGGGAGAGGAAACAACAAGUGCUGGUGUAGCUUGGCAGGAUAGAGAGAUGGCGACCCACACAGUGAGCACACAUAUCAAACUGAAAGAGGUCGCCUAGAACGUACUUCACAGUGAGCAUGCACACCCACACAUCCAUGUCCAGCUUGGCUUGGCCGGCAAGAGCAACAGAGGAGAGGAGCCGCUGUAGAGCCCAGGUGACCUCGUCGACUCCCUUAGAAGCCGGAGACUCGCUGUAGUGGUGCUGUGACUUGUGCUCAUACGAAGUUUCCUUCCAGGCAUGUAUCGGUGGAACUGCUAAAUUUUUUCUGUUGAACUGAUACAGACAAAUUGCCUCAAAUAUUUAUGGAAAUAUACUGAAGAAUGCUGCAGUUUUUUCCUGCAAGAAGUGUCGUUGUCCUCA